AGAAACUGCUGGAUGCUGAGAGGAACGCAUCAGUGGAAGAAAACAAGCGGCUGGACGUGGAGAGGACGUCAAGGGAGCAUGCCGGCGGAAGAGCACACCACAGACGCCGGCAGGCCACCGAGCGGCAGGACCAGGCGGAGUUUGGCCGGGGCAGUCGGAGGAGAGCUAGGCCACUAAGCAGCUCAACUCCAGGAGAUAAACCAUCUCCCUUGUGGCUCCUCCGUCGGCUGAGAGCUGCUUCCACUCAAUAACACUUUGCACUCGUUCUCCAAGCCCCCGUGUGAUCCGAUUCUUCUGGUACACCCAGGCAAGAACCCAGGAUACAGAAAGGCCUCGGUCCUUUCCACAAGUACCUCUACUUGAGGUACUCAUUGACCUGGUUAACACAAGCUGCCUACAGACGCCAAAACUAAGGGCACCCUGGAACACAGGCUUCAGCUGUAAACAUUCACCCCUGGGCACUGCCGUGGGGUGGGAGCCUGCCUGAGUGUAUGCUCCCCUAGAGGUUUGAGCUGCGGGGCACUGAAGAAGUGAGCCACACUCCCAUCGCACACUGCGAGGGGGACAAAGGAACUUUUCCUCUUUUAACUGGGGCCUCAUCUGGAAUCUCGGAAGGUGAAUGUCUGCCUUCGAAAACCCUACCACCUGUCUUUCUUGUGGAUCACCCUGGCCUGCCAUGCCCCCAUCCUGGGCCUAUAAAAACCCUGAGACCCUAGCAAGGCAGAGAUAGAAGCUGCCGGAUGCUGAGAGAAACACAUCAGUGGAAGGGAAGAAGAAAAGCGGCUGGACAUGGAGAGGACGUCAGUGGAGCAUGCCGGCGGAAGAGCACACCCACAGACCCUGGCACGCCGGCAGGCCACGUAGCGGCAGGCCACGUAGCGGCAGGCCACGUAGCGGCAGGCCACGUAGCGGCAGGCCAAGGCGGAGUUUGGCCGGGGCAGUCGGAGGAGAGCUAGGCCACUAAGCAGCUCAACUCCAGGAGAAAACCAUCUCCCUUCUGGCUCCUCCAUCAGCUGAGAGCUGCUUCCACUCAAUAACACUUCGCACUGAUUCUCCAAGCCCAGGUGUGAUCCGAUUCUUCUGGUACACCCAGGCAAGAACCCAGGAUACAGACAGCCCUCUGUCCUUUUGAUAACUAGAGGGUCUCAUUGACCUGGUUAACACAAGCUGCCUACAGACGGCAAAACUAAAAGAGCACCCUGGAACACACGCCCACUGGGGCUUCAGCUGUAAACAUUCACCCCUAGACACGGCUAUGGGGUUGGAGCCUGCCUGUCUGUAUGCUCCCCUAGAGGUUUGGGCAGCAGGGCACUGAAGAAUCAAGCCACACCCCCAUCGCACACCCUGCGAGGGGGACAAGGGAACCUUUCUCUUUUCAGUUGGUCUUAAUAAACACUGAGUAAAUGAAU
Long non-coding RNA from Homo sapiens (human), 1409 nucleotides. RefSeq annotates it as long independently transcribed non-coding RNA 2575. NCBI's taxonomy places the organism in Eukaryota, Metazoa, Chordata, Mammalia, Primates, Hominidae. The record is from RefSeq and is marked validated. The transcript has 2 exons.